UACGUAGGGACCGAGCGUUGUCCGGAAUCAUUGGGCGUAAAGAGCGUGUAGGCGGCCUGUUAAGUCUUGCGUGAAAUCUCGGGGCUCAACCCCGAGCGGUCGUGAGAAACUGGCAGGCUAGAGUGCGGGAGAGGAGAGUGGAAUUCCUGGUGUAGCGGUGAAAUGCGUUGAUAUCAGGAGGAACACCCAUGGCGAAGGCAGCUGACUGGGCAUUAUCUGACGCUGAGGCGCGAAAGCGUGGGUAGCAAACAGG
This 253-nucleotide ribosomal RNA is filed under the name uncultured bacterium. RNAcentral describes it as "partial 16S ribosomal RNA". It matches the Rfam family "Bacterial small subunit ribosomal RNA", at positions 524 to 776 of the family's 1533-position model. The record is from RNAcentral.